AUUGAACGCUGGCGGCAUGCUUUACACAUGCAAGUCGAACGGCAGCACGGGGGCAACCCUGGUGGCGAGUGGCGAACGGGUGAGUAAUGCAUCGGAACGUACCCAGUCGUGGGGGAUAACGCAGCGAAAGUUGUGUUAAUACCGCAUACGACCUGAGGGUGAAAGCGGGGGACCGUAAGGCCUCGCGCGAUUGGAGCGGCCGAUGUCUGAUUAGCUAGUUGGUGGGGGUAAAGGCCCACCAAGGCGACGAUCAGUAGCGGGUCUGAGAGGAUGAUCCGCCACACUGGGACUGAGACACGGCCCAGACUCCUACGGGAGGCAGCAGUGGGGAAUUUUGGACAAUGGGGGCAACCCUGAUCCAGCCAUGCCGCGUGCGGGAAGAAGGCCUCGGUUGUAA
Molecule: ribosomal RNA, 397 nt
Filed under: uncultured bacterium
Lineage: Bacteria
Description: bacterial SSU rRNA
Rfam family: Bacterial small subunit ribosomal RNA
Source: RNAcentral